GAUGCCAACUCCAUUCCUACGCCUGUCGCUCCCAGAGUACCACAGCUUGUAACCGUCCACAUCCCUAGCCUUAGACCCUACCCACUUGGUCUCUUGGACACACGCAAGGUUGAUCCUUCUCUUCCUAAGAAUCUUCACCAGCUCUAUGGACUUCCCCUGAAGGGUCCCUAUAUUCCAAGACCCAACCCUCAGCCUACCGUCGCUAUCCACGCGCCCCCCACUACCCCUCCCUCGGCCAAACCUUGGCCUCCCACCCACUCCCGCUCUCUCCCCAUCUCCCGCCCCCGCCACAGCCCCACGCCCCAACCCCCUCGGACAUGACCCUAACCACCCAUUACCACCCACAGCCACAACUACACGAAAAAAUAGGAAAAUAUAAGGAUAUACCCGGUGUCAAUAUCAAAGCAGCAGCUAGGAGAUAUAAGGCACACACACGUUCAAAGGACUACUCCCGAAGCAAAACUAAGAAGCGACCACAGCAACAGCAACAACAGACAACAAACAAUGUUCACAAAUCCCACGCAAGUCAAUAGUAAAGCAGCAGCAAGUAAUACAAGGCUCGCACAAAUUCAAGGAAAUAUUCCAGCAACCAAACUAUACUCAAUUACUAGUAUAAUAUGAAGAAUGAAAGAAUGCAGAAUGAAGAAUGAAAUAAGCAAAGGUUAGAAGUCACCGGAUUUCACUUGUAGACCAAGCCGGCAACCAAGCCCCGCUUCGACCUACUGCCGGAGGAUCGCUACAGAGAUGUAUCCGCGGCUGCUGACGAUGGAGCGGCGGUGCAGCUGAAGACCGAGCUUCGGCUGA
This 804-nucleotide long non-coding RNA is filed under the name Capsicum annuum. RNAcentral's name for it is "long non-coding RNA (CANN_LNC014305)". Lineage: Eukaryota; Viridiplantae; Streptophyta; Magnoliopsida; Solanales; Solanaceae. The record is from RNAcentral.